CUCAGAUAAGAUUAUUUCUUUCUGAAUUUUCCUUUAAAAUGCAAUUGCUUUCCCGACCAAAAGGUUCUAUACUAGAACAGGGUUCCAGGAAGUUCUUGUGUGUCAGCAGUGCCAACGUGUCUUCAGUGUGGCACGUCAGAAGACUGGCACAUAGGAAAUGAGUUCUUGUCAAAUGAGCAGGUUAUUACAAAAUGAAAGUGCUCAAUUUCACCAUAGGAUUUAUUUCACAAUAAUUUAUUUCGGAAACAACCUGAAGUGGUUAACACAAAAUUGUCACUUUUUCUCUUAGAUAAUCUUUUGAGCAAAGAGAAAACCAGACCAGAAUUUUGGAAGAACAUGUAGUGUUCUCAGUGACUGGUGCUAAUGAUGUAGAAUCAUCAGCACUUGUACACUUUUUUUUUUGUGCAAGUGUUGCUGCUGCCCCUCAGGACAGAGAAAUGUAUUGAGUCCCUGUUCCAUCUCAGUGAUUAGACUAAGGUAAAAGAAAGGAAGGAAACGGAUAUAUGUAGCUGGAAAAACACUGAAAGAAGUUAUAAAUGUGCUUCCAGCCUUCAUAUAUUUGCUGCUGCAGAUCCCUUUUCAGACACAGUGGCCUCAGCCCUGUAUCAGUCUCUACUCUUUACACACACACUCUGCCUGGGUGCAGCCAGAGCUACACACAGUGGGAAUACUGAGACAAUGUUACAGGUGCUUUCCUCCCUGAAUGAGGAAAACAAGAGCGGUAAACCACCACUAGAACUAAGUUCCACAUCCCCCCUCUUGAACUUCUUCGCACACAAACUUCUGAAGCAGCACUUGAAACUUCCCAGUGUUGGAAUUGAUCUUCCUGUCUCUCUGUUAAAGCAUGCCCUGCUGAGAACAUUUCCAGUCACCACAGGCAGGACCAGCUGGGCUGCACUGGUGACCUGCUGUGCACCCAAACACUUCAGCACUUCAUUUUCUGGAUUCAGCUUUGCAGAGAACACUGUGGUGUCACUAGACAGCCAUAAACCUGUGUUAAUGGUGUUCCAGGGCAGUAAAUAUGGGCAAUGAAGGCCCUUUCCCAAAGUUUAGAAUGUCAUGUAGAUGAGUUUGAUCAUCCCACUUAUCAGAAGAUCACACUGAAUAUGUGCUUAGGCCAUGCCACUUCAAAUACUUCUCUUUAAUGCUAUGCAGAUCUUGAGAACAUAACAUAUUAAAGCUUGGAUAGGCAGGAUGGGGGGUGAAACUAUAGGAAAUACACAUUGUUUCGUGCCUAAUGGUCCAUUCUACACCAUAUUUCCUUCAGGACAACUAUAGUUUAAUUUUGUCCUCUUCCAGAGUUAGCCUCCUUCCACAGAUUGUGGUGUACCAGGAUCUUGGUAGAUCUCUUUCCCAUGUAAUUCUUGGGAAAUCACAUGAGAGCUCAGUUUGUAAAGAGCAGCAUCAGCAAGGACAAAUGCCAGUGUUUUAAAUACACAUUGCAGAUGUUGAAAGUAAUUAGUAAAGACAUGUCCAUGAAGUUACUGAAAACUAUUCAGGGUUAGUGGUGGGAAAUAUAUUAUAUUUAUCUCAUGUCUAAAGAAAUGUGCAUUGCUGAGAAGCUGCGGGAGGUUUGGGACACCUCUUCUCGGCAGUGCAGCCCCUACACAUCUCAGACAAGUUCUGCUUUUGAGAAUAACACACAUCUGUUUGGUCAAUCCUGGCUUCCUUCUUAAAAGGGAACUUUGCUUCCAGUAAGAGGAAAGGAUGACUGUUACUGGUGGAAAGAUGCAAAAUGUCUCUUAUACUGAAGAAUAUUUGUAGGCUUUUCUUAUUGCUUCUUCAUUGCCAUAAGUAGCAUCUUGAAAAGGAGGGCUUGUAUGUGCUUGUAAAUGCAAAAGGAACAAUUCUGUUUCUCUGAGACUACUAUAAAUCAAAUAUAAUCUUCAUUUCCUGUAGUGUGUCACUGAAAAUGAGACUUGGGCAUUUUUUUGCGGCAAGGGAAAAUACUUAUCUGUUGCAGAUUUUCUUGUAAAGCAGCUUGUAUCUGUAAAUCCUGGUGCAUGCACAGAUAACGGCUUCCUGUUUGUAGCCUGCCCAGGCUCCAGCUCUGAGCUGCAGGUCUCAUCAGUGACACCAGCUUUAACUGGUCUGACAUCUCUGAUUCCUGAUGCAACGUCUGCAAAAAUGAGGAAAUUUGAGAAGUUAGAAUGGUUCUCCCUCUUGGUGAUUCCAUAGAUAAAGCCCUACACAAAUAGCAUUUUGAUCAAAUCAGUGGGAACUUCACCCUUAAAUUUGGAUGUGUUUCAGCACAUCUAAAUCCUAGAAAUUAACCCAGGGAAUAUCUAAAUUACUUCAUCUGACAUUUCCACUAGCUAUAUUCAAAGUAUUUUUUUCUCUGGUAAUCCUGUAAAAGAGGAUAUCACCCACAGUGUGUAGCAGCUUUAUUUCUAGAAGGUUUGGAUCUGGAGCCAUGUACUGUCACUUGGCAAAGCAUACACAAAUACUUUGAAUCAAACACUGAAAUCUUAUGGAAAUGAAAAGGAUUUAUGUAUAUGAUUAAGUUGUUUAAUCAGCCCUUGGGCAAUUUUAUCACCAGAGAGAUCUGGGAGUGAUGAUGCUCCCAAAUGCUCAAGAUGCUCAGUGCCUUACAGUAGUGAGUCAAUAUCUCCAUGAAUUGCUUUCAUAGUGCAGCCAUUAACUACAGCAAUCACACAGAAUUUUAGGCUCAAACCUAAUCCAUCUAUGUGAGGAAAAAGACUGCACUGAAAGAAAAUUGAGUUAAAAGGGAUCUCACAACUGAGAAAUAAAAACAGUUGUAACCAGCAUAUCUUAAGGAAAGUAAUGCCAAGGAAUGCAGUUGGUUUAUCUAUUAAAACUCAAUUUAGGUUUCAGUUUAUGGCUGUAUUUAUUUUAUUAUAAUCAGUAUCAUAAUUUUCUCUGGAAGAGAACUGGAACAAAAGAACGUAAUGUCUUUUGCUGAAUGUAUGAGGUAUUUCUGACUUACUAAGAUGUGACUACACAAAGUUAAGAUUUGAAUUCAAGGAAGCACUUUUGUGCUUUUGAUAAUGUAAACCUUGAUGUGUCAGGAACUUUAAGAAAAGGCAUUGGAACUUCCAAGGGAAAAACGAAACAAAAUUAUUGAAAAAAUAAUUAUGCUGGGAAUGAAUGAUUCACAGUCAGACUGCUGUUCACAGCAUGAACACUUCUACACUAUUUAACCAGUGUUCUUCAGUACAAGCACUUCUUCUGUUUGCACCUCUGCUAAUAUUGCUGUGAGAAAUAAAAACCAUGCAGCAUGUGUUUGGGGUGGCUGCAUUUGCUGUAGGUGUCUGCAGUGCAGCAUUUCUCAGUCAAGCACCCCAAUCAAUUCCAGUUCUGUUGCCUGGCAUUCCUGUGAACUGCAGUUUCAUAACGAGUCUCAUAACAUGUUUCAAAGACAACAAAAGUACAUUUUCAUCAAGUGAAUAAUGCACUGUAACACUCAUUGUCACAGGACGCUCUUUAAUAACAGAAGUUGGGAUGGGUUCAAAAAGCAAGAAGAAAAAUUCAUGGAAGAGAGAACUAUCAAGAUAAAACUUCUGUCUCAGGAAGCUGCUGAGCUCCAGAUUGCCGGGAUCUGGGAGGAUACACAGGCAUGGUGCUACUUUUAUCUUUUCCUAAGCAUCUGCUCCCGGGCACUGCAGAGGCAGGGCUUUGGCUGGGACUGACCUCUGCUCUUACCCCAAGUGCCCUUCCUUACAUCACUUUCUGGCCAAUGGGACUUCUUUGGAAGGGUUGUGGCUUCCCUGAACAUUUUGUGUGACAAUUGGUCAGCGAUCUGAUUCAGCCA
Molecule: long non-coding RNA, 3772 nt
Organism: Taeniopygia guttata (zebra finch)
Lineage: Eukaryota; Metazoa; Chordata; Aves; Passeriformes; Estrildidae
Source: Ensembl